UGAACGCAGCAUUGAUGUGUGCAAAGAAAAAUGCUGUUAAGAACGCUGCGUUAUUGCGGAUGCAACUGGUUUAUUCCACAUUACUUUUCAUAGCCUGUGCUUUAGUGCUUAGAAAUUGUCAAUGACAUGUGAAGGAGAAUCAUCAAGAAGUCUUCUGAGCCAUAAAAAAUUAACAGUUAAGCAGUGAAGUGUUUCUCUGGGACCAAGCUGGGAGAGUGAAGGCUAGAACAUGCUGCCUCCAAGAUGUGUGAAGCCAGCCGUCACAUCUUUUCCAUACUGCUGCUAACAGGACGGCUGAAGGAAAGGAACGCCUGCUCCAUGUCUUUCCUCAGCUGGGACAUCCAGCGAUGGACCACGGGAGCAAGUUGCUGGGAAACGAGGUGUACACAGCCAAACAACUCACUUCUGCCAGACAGCUCUUGGAGUGAAUCAUCUAGUAUUGGUGUCUGUGUUUCAAACACCCCCACCCGCCCGACACAGCACUCUGACUGCAUAUGGUUCUGAGAGGGGCCUGCGUUAUUCGGUUAGUCGGGCUUGUGCCUCAGCUCUAGCCAGAGGCUGUAGCAGCACAAUGGAUGGUCUGUGCUAUGGCUGAAUGUUGUAAGGGGCUGAGUAGGUCCUUCUCUCUGCAUUUUCUCUAUUUCUAACAGUCAAUGGACUCUCCACAGGUCCCUAUAGGCCUUCAAAGUGGAACCCCUUGGCUAACACAAACUCACAAAGCAGAGCAUUCUGUUUUCCUCGCAUUCGACCUUGCCCAGUGUCACAGGGCAACUGCUCAACUCGACAGAGAGAGGAACUUUUGAAAUACUACCACAUCUGGGAUUGGAUGAAUGCUGCUCGCCCCUGGCCAAUCAUAUCAAGUCUAAAGACCCAAUUCACAGUGAAAGUGUUAAAGCGUUUUUAGUCGUCUGUCUAACAGUACAUAUAUAUGCCACCAUUUUAAUCUGUAUUUCACAACAAACCAACUCCAACAAAUGAGCAUCUUAUGUCUGUCACAAUGUGACAUGACAUCAAAAUGCAUAUAUUUCAUUUUCACUUGCGCACAAGUGAAGCAGAGAAAACAGAGAUCCAUUCAAAUCACACUCUUGCAUUUUAUCUGAUCUUGUUGUCUGAACUGAUCUGAAUCAUAAUAAGUAGAAUUUUACCAACAGGCAUGAAAACUUGAUGGUGAUUUCGUUGCAAUAAACAGUGCCUUCACAUUAUGCAGCUAAUGUAAAACUGCUUAAUUAGCAAGCCUCUGUUAGUCCUGCCUGAAGCACUUACAGAACAGAAUUUGAAAGCAGUGUGAAGUCUAGGUAACAGCGGUGUAACAAUACAUUGUGUCUGUGAUAUCACAAUGCAAAACUGGGGCUGUGACUGAAAUGCAUCCCUACUGUGCUUAAAUACUAUUGAAUUUAUUUAGUUUAUGAUUUCCUGAACUGCUUUAUUUACAUAUAACAGUAAAUAAAUCAAUAAAUGAUUUAUGACACUUUCUCAUUGUCAACCUGCACCAGUAUUCACUAGCCACAUAAACAAAUCCACAUCAUGUGCAAGGCUGAAGCUGGCUUCUUAUUCGAGUUAUAGGCAUGGACGCAACAUUUUGAAGACUGCAAAAAAGUAUAUAUAUAUAUAAAAAAGACGAGUCUACAGAUUUAGAUCAUGAUUUCAAAAACUGUUAUUACUCUAAGUUUUUGCAAUAUGAUGAGCAACAGGCAGGAAAUGCGUUAGGGUCUGAUUUUAGCUGUACAUAGUAACCUUUAAUGUUCGUAUGUCCAUUGCUUAUUAACAAGAGACUCACAAUGCUCUCUGGUAUGCAUUCAACUGAUGUAGUGAUCUUUGGCGUUCACUAGAAAUUGUAGUUAGAGAUUGUAGAGCCUUCUUAAUUACUCCAGAGUUUGGUUUUAGUUGACACUAAAAGAAAAAAAAAUCUGGCUGAUAUAAUAGUGACCUACAACAUACUAGUGAUCCAUUUUGGUCAUAACCUGUGCCAAACAUGCCAUCUAAUGCAGUAGCAUUGCUUGAACACUAAAGUUUACAAAUAAUCUGUACCAAUUAACAACUCACUUCAGCACUGCUCCUGCUCCCCACCUCCAGCGUCACUAGUAAGCUGUGCAAUUGUGUAUAAAAUAGCAAUCAGUUUUCUUCAUUCAAAUUUGGUCCAAAAUAUUGUUCGAAUAUCAAAUUGUCUGGGCUAAGAAUAUCAUUACACUACUACUAGGCUACAUCAAUAGCUGACGAAGAGUCCCCAUUCAGCAGCAUUGCAAGAACAUAUAAAAGCCAGCCAGUGCUCAGAUUCAGAUGUGCUCUAACAGCCAGCUUGCUUGUGUUUUCACAAACUCACACAUGAAUUCCAGUUAACUCCAUCGUUAAUACUGCCUUUUAAGCUAUCUGUGAGUAUGUAAGAUGGACAUUAAUCAUGGAAUGUAACCCACAAAUGACUGAUAUGGUCUACAUCAGAUGGACUUUCAACAAUCAGCCUGCAUUGUAAUUCUGUUUCUAUCAUCAGCAGGGCAGCAAGAGUGAACCCGGAAACUAUGCCUUUCCCCUCAUACUCAAACCACACCUUUAGCCCCAUGUGACUCAGCAGUUACCAUGGAUUGCAAAGAUUGCAGAAGUUUUGGCCUUGAGAAACCCUGAUUUAAAACUUCCUGCAACUUUAAUGCCAUUAAAAAAAAGUGAUUGGCUCUGUCCAGCAACAACUUCAGCUUAACUGAGGAGAUAUUUUUAGUGCAGAGAUUUAGUGUGUUUCAAAAAUGUUUAACAAACAGAUUAAAAAUCUGUUCGAUUAAAAGUUCUCUAGUGUGGCUGAACUGCAAGAUACUAGCAUUUUUGGGGACUUCAGGAUAGAUUAAAUUCCAGCGCACGGAGUUCAGACUCAGUAUCAUUUUGCCCCUCAUGUUUUUUCACUAGAAGAAAAUGAUAUGCUUGCGUGUGCCACCUUUCUCUAAAAACAGGAGGCUCUAGCUUGGCCAUCCACCAUAUCAAGGAGAAAAUGGCACCCUACUAAUUUCGCCUCUAAUGUUUGUCUAGUCUUCAUCUAAGGCAUGUUUCCAUUGCAUAAAACAACAAAACACAGCAUCAGCAACUCAUCUUUACAGAAAUUUUAUUGUAAUUUUAAACCAACCAACCAACCAAAAAAAAAAACAAAAAAAAAAACAAA
This is a long non-coding RNA of Pygocentrus nattereri (red-bellied piranha), 3139 nucleotides long. RefSeq lists it as uncharacterized. NCBI's taxonomy places the organism in Eukaryota, Metazoa, Chordata, Actinopteri, Characiformes, Serrasalmidae. The transcript has 3 exons. The record is from RefSeq and is a predicted model, not a curated record.